GAAAAGCAAUGGAUAGCGUGUUGGACUUCUAAUCCAAAGGUCGUAGGUUCAAAUCCCACUCG
This 62-nucleotide transfer RNA is filed under the name Trichonephila clavata. RNAcentral describes it as "tRNA-Arg". It matches the Rfam family "tRNA", at positions 9 to 63 of the family's 71-position model. From Rfam's summary of the family: Transfer RNA (tRNA) molecules are approximately 80 nucleotides in length. Their secondary structure includes four short double-helical elements and three loops (D, anti-codon, and T loops). Further hydrogen bonds mediate the characteristic L-shaped molecular structure. tRNAs have two regions of fundamental functional importance: the anti-codon, which is responsible for specific mRNA codon recognition, and the 3' end, to which the tRNAs corresponding amino acid is attached (by aminoacyl-tRNA synthetases). tRNAs cope with the degeneracy of the genetic code in two manners: having more than one tRNA (with a specific anti-codon) for a particular amino acid; and 'wobble' base-pairing, i.e. permitting non-standard base-pairing at the 3rd anti-codon position. The record is from RNAcentral. Lineage: Eukaryota; Metazoa; Arthropoda; Arachnida; Araneae; Nephilidae.